CUGAUCCAGCCAUCCCGCGUGUGCGAUGAAGGCCUUCGGGUUGUAAAGCACUUUUGGCAGGAAAGAAACGUCGCGGGCUAAUACCUCGCGAAACUGACGGUACCUGCAGAAUAAGCACCGGCUAACUACGUGCCAGCAGCCGCGGUAAUACGUAGGGUGCAAGCGUUAAUCGGAAUUACUGGGCGUAAAGCGUGCGCAGGCGGUUCGGAAAGAAAGAUGUGAAAUCCCAGAGCUUAACUUUGGAACUGCAUUUUUAACUACCGGGCUAGAGUGUGUCAGAGGGAGGUGGAAUUCCGCGUGUAGCAGUGAAAUGCGUAGAUAUGCGGAGGAACACCGAUGGCGAAGGCAGCCUCCUGGGAUAACACUGACGCUCAUGCACGAAAGCGUGGGGAGCAAACAGGAUUAGAUACCCUGGUAGUCCACGCCCUAAACGAUGUCAACUAGCUGUUGGGGUCUUCGGACCUUGGUAGCGCAGCUAACGCGUGAAGUUGACCGCCUGGGGAGUACGGUCGCAAGAUUAAAACUCAAAGGAAUUGACGGGGACCCGCACAAGCGGUGGAUGAUGUGGAUUAAUUCGAUGCAACGCGAAAAACCUUACCUACCCUUGACAU
RNAcentral lists this ribosomal RNA (611 nucleotides) under Alcaligenes sp. S75-2. Its description in RNAcentral is "bacterial SSU rRNA". It matches the Rfam family "Bacterial small subunit ribosomal RNA", at positions 383 to 987 of the family's 1533-position model. Lineage: Bacteria; Pseudomonadati; Pseudomonadota; Betaproteobacteria; Burkholderiales; Alcaligenaceae. The record is from RNAcentral.